UGCCUUCAGUUCAGUUCGAGGCAGCCACAAAAGGAGUCACUAUACAAAUCGGAGCAAAAUUUAUUAAAAUAUAAAAUUUGAAAUUUUUUUACUAAGUGUGUGCGGUUACUAAAUUUUUCGGAUCUAAGUAGACGGUUCAAACUGCUUUCCAACAGUUCGUACAGUUGACCUUCAGUUCAAUUCAAGGCAGCCAAAAAAGUAGACCUUUUUCCAAAUCAAGCAUUUCUAAAGAAAACAAAAUAAAUGUGCCUUUGUACUGUUGCGUGAUCCCUAUUCGGAAAACCAUUGGAAGCCCAAGAGAUUCAAAUGCUUGAAUGUGUUAUUAAAGCAAAUAUAUCAAGCUAUAUUAAAUAAUUUACAACGCAAUGGAUUGCUUCCAAGUGACGAAGGUUGUCAACCGACAUGUGCUCAAGGCCAUUUACCAGUACUCGGAGCAGCUGUUCCAGGACUCCAUCGCUUUGUCAACUAUUAAGCUGGAGGUGAGCUACAGCAUGAAGAAUGUCAAUCCUAUCCAAGACCUGGAUAGCUUGAUUGAGUCGUCGGUGGAGAACCUCACCCUAAUCGGCGUUCUGAAGGAGACAGCGCUCAAUGGCAGCGAUGAGAAGUGGGUUGACUUCACAAGUCUAUACGGAGACCUCUUGGAUCUUCGGCUUUUAUUAACCAUCCGAAAAGUGAAAUCAUAAGCUGGUGGACGGGCACCUAAGCUGUCGAAAGGUUUUCGAUAGGCAUCGGCAGGGCCAGUACUGUCUACAGAGUCUCGCAAUCUCGUAAACUGUGGAGGAUGCGGGGCUGGAGCUCGGGGUUGAAGCUCGGAGGCUGUCGAAAGGCAUCGGCAGGGCCAGUACUGUCUACAGAGUCUCGCAAUCUCUUAAACUGUGGAGGAUGCGGGGCUGAAGCUCGGAUUUAGAGUUGAUAUUGAGACAGGUUUGCAGGCUUGAACUGAAGCUCGUACUUCUUCUCAUCGCUGCCAUUGAUCGCUGUCUCCUUGAGAACGCCGAUUAGGGUGAGGUUCUUUACCGACGAAUCAAGCUAUCCAGGUCUUGGACAGGAUUAACAUUCUUCAUAGUGUAGCUCACCUCCAGCUUAAUAGUUGACAAAGCGAUGGAGUCCCGGAACAGCUGCUCCGAGUACUGGUAAAUGGCCUUGAGCACAUGUCGGUUGACAACCUUCGGCACUUGGAAGCAAUCCA
This is an RNA transcript of Drosophila obscura, 1189 nucleotides long. RefSeq lists it as uncharacterized. The transcript has 4 exons. NCBI's taxonomy places the organism in Eukaryota, Metazoa, Arthropoda, Insecta, Diptera, Drosophilidae. The record is from RefSeq and is a predicted model, not a curated record.